UAUCUCUGUAGAGUCUGCAUAUCAAUAAGCGGAGGAAAAGAAACUAACAAGGAUUCCCCUAGUAACGGCGAGUGAAGCGGGAAGAGCUCAAAUUUGAAAUCUUCAAGGUUUUACCUUGACGAAUUGUAGUUUAAAGAAGUGUUUUCGGUUAGAGGAGUAGGUAAAAGUUCUUUGGAAUAGGACAUCAUAGAGGGUGAGAAUCCCGUAUUUGACCUAUUCUCUCUAGCUUUGUGAUACACUUUCAAAGAGUCGGAUUGUUUGGGAAUGCAGUCCAAAAUGGGUGGUAAAUUUCAUCUAAAGCUAAAUAUUGGCGAGAGACCGAUAGCGAACAAGUACCGUGAGGGAAAGAUGAAAAGAACUUUGAAAAGAGAGUUAAACAGUACGUGAAAUUGUCAAAAGGGAAGCGUUUGACACCAGUGUUGUUUUUCCGAAAAUCAAUUAAAAAUGGAUUCAUGCUAGGUUAGUAUUGACCUUCAUCAGGCUUGCAUGCUUAGUUUUGGGUUUCUUUUUGAUGCACUUUUCGGUUAACAAGUCAACAUCAAUUUCCUUUGCUGUAAAAAGGCAGGAGGAAGGUGGCUUCAAUUUCGGUUGAAGUGUUUAUAGCCUUCUGUCUCUGCAGUCGGGGAGAUUGAGGUCUGCAGCGUAGAUCCUUCGGGGCUAGAUACAUUCGUGCUAAGUUAUAGCCUUUUAUAGACAACUUGUUGACUAUGAUUGGUCUUGUAAUUUACUCGCGAGUGCUAUUUUACCUACGCUUAGGAUGUUGAUGUGAUACUGCGAGCA
RNAcentral lists this ribosomal RNA (780 nucleotides) under uncultured Neocallimastigales. RNAcentral describes it as "partial large subunit ribosomal RNA". It matches the Rfam family "Eukaryotic large subunit ribosomal RNA", at positions 24 to 646 of the family's 3401-position model. Lineage: Eukaryota; Fungi; Neocallimastigomycota; Neocallimastigomycetes; Neocallimastigales. The record is from RNAcentral.